Molecule: ribosomal RNA, 466 nt
Filed under: uncultured bacterium
Lineage: Bacteria
Description: bacterial SSU rRNA
Rfam family: Bacterial small subunit ribosomal RNA
Source: RNAcentral
CCAGACUCCUACGGGAGGCAGCAGUGAGGAAUAUUGGUCAAUGGGCGGAAGCCUGAACCAGCCAAGUCGCGUGAGGGAAGAAGGCCCUGCGGGUCGCAGACCUCUUUGGACGGGGAGCAAGGCCGCCGACGUGUCGGCGGAAGGAGAGUACCCGUAGAACAAGCAUCGGCUAACUCCGUGCCAGCAGCCGCGGUAAUACGUAGGGAGCAAGCGUUAUCCGGAUUUAUUGGGUGUAAAGGGUGCGUAGACGGGUAUACAAGUUAGUAGUGAAAUCCCUCGGCUUAACUGAGGAACUGCUACUAAAACUAUAUAUCUUGAGUACUGGAGGGGAAAGCGGAAUUCCUAGUGUAGCGGUGAAAUGCGUAGAUAUUAGGAAGAACACCGGUGGCGAAGGCGGCUUUCUGGACAGAAACUGACGUUGAGGCACGAAAGUGUGGGGAGCAAACAGGAUUAGAUACCCUCGUAA